RNAcentral lists this ribosomal RNA (313 nucleotides) under uncultured soil bacterium. RNAcentral's name for it is "bacterial SSU rRNA". It matches the Rfam family "Bacterial small subunit ribosomal RNA", at positions 26 to 341 of the family's 1533-position model. The record is from RNAcentral.
AGAUUGAACGCUGGCGGCAGGCCUAACACAUGCAAGUCGAGCGGUAGAGAGGUGCUUGCACCUCUUGAGAGCGGCGGACGGGUGAGUAAUGCCUAGGAAUCUGCCUAGUGGUGGGGGAUAACGUUCGGAAACGGACGCUAAUACCGCAUACGUCCUACGGGAGAAAGCGGGGGACCUUCGGGCCUCGCGCCAUUAGAUGAGCCUAGGUCGGAUUAGCUAGUUGGUGAGGUAAUGGCUCACCAAGGCGACGAUCCGUAACUGGUCUGAGAGGAUGAUCAGUCACACUGGAACUGAGACACGGUCCAGACCUCCU